GCCAAUGAGAAGAUAAAGAGGAAAAGAGCUUUUAUGAUUGUUCCUGAUGACUAAUGCUGUGCCUAGGGCCCCCUACACCCCAUGCUUCUAAUUAAGUUAGCUUGGAGCACCUGAGGUGAAGUAGGGCAACUCAGCUGAGACAGUUCAAAGGCAAUUUGUUCAGUAGAGCUGAGGAAUCAGACUCCUAGGGCUAAAGCUAGGGAGAACACCAACCUGGAGGUACAUGAGAACAAGUACCUGUAGGACUGAAGAAGGCUUUCCCCCACCAUUACAGGCAUGAGCACUUAGCUGAGACAGGUAGGAGUAAGAGUAACUUCAGAUCUCCAGGAUAACUUCUCUACUUAUAACUACUGUGUAUCCAAGCAAAAGAACAACUGCGCUUAAAACCUUGUGUUUGUGAUGAUCUCCCCUCAGCUUUUAUCAUUCCAUAGCUGUCUGCCCUAGAGUUCCUCUCAGGCCCUGCACGAUAUGUGAGGCUGUCUGUGUCAGGGACAGCCUCAGAGAAGAGCUGAGACAGAGCAACCAUCGAGAGAGUUAAAUGACAAACACCUUCUAUUCUACCCAAUGAAACCAUCAAGUACUCAAGUUUGAUUCCCAAAUAUCUUGGAUCUGUCUUACUAAUCAUAACCUGUCUGUGCUAUGGCUAUGGUCCAAGACUAUAGUGAAUACUGUUACCUUGUGUUCUGAUAGCAAUUCCCACCUCUUUUUGUCACUGGUAAUUGUUCUCCCGAUUGCAGCUGAGUGGUCAUUACUAUUAUAAGGAACACAUAAAAUGCUAAUAAAGGGUUGCUUGUUUGUUUGCCUCACUGCUACCUCAGGCAUUUCUCUUAUACUUAUUGCCCAUCAUUAAAGCAUGCCCUCCCUCCCCUGGGUCUCAUUUCCAGAUAAGCUCUGUGGCCCCAGGAAACAUUUUGCAUAGUUUAAAAAUUAGCAGUCAGUCUGGAGAUGGGAGGAUUGCCAGCUAGUCAAGCAGCACUAAAAAUCACUGUUGUUUUUGUUUCUGCCUGGCUCAGUACUCCACUUCUCAAAAGCAAAUGAUAUGCUUCAGUUUCCAAUGUUUUUCCUAUACUUGCUUUACUGCCCUGUACUGUCUAUUGAAUUUUAUUCUUAGCUGUGGAGAGCAUUGCCCUGCUAUCAUGAAAUACAAAUCCCAGUUCUCCUAGUGCUCCUUCUGCUUCUUUUUUCAUUCUUUAAAGAAAAAUCAAAAUAGGAACCAAAUAAACUAAGACAUAGUCAGAAAGAAGUAAGGAAGGGAAGGUCUAAGUGAGACCGAUGGGACACUGAGGAGUAAGGUUAGGGGAAGGAGAGGGUCAGAUUAACAGACAGUAGCCAGAAGUCAGCUGUAGUCGAGCUGUAUACAUGAGCUAUAUACUGCUGUUUGGGGUGUAUGAAAGAAGUCAGUUAAGUCUCUGGAAUGGAGUUCUCUGUCAUCUAGAGGCCACUGCAAACAGAAACAGGGUGCCCAACAAUGGAUGUGACUGCAGCGGUGAAGAGGGCAUUGGUGAAGUGGGCACAGGAGGAAGGUGAGGAAAGCCUAAGGAGCAGUGUGGGUGAUUCAGGAGUGCAGGACCUCAUCAUCUGCAGAGCCCUUGUGAUGUCAGGGGAUGGCUAUGAAUACCAGCCAGCAGAGCAAGACCACGCAAGCGCUGUGCCCUCCACUUCCCAAAGAGCGGGGGCUCAGAGUACCUACAGUGCACCCCCAACAUUGCUCUGGGGCUGCACCCAGUGGUGCUGGGUCCCAUCCCACAGGAAGGGCUCGUAGGCAUCACUGAUGAGCAAGAAGCUUGCAUCUCAGACUGCUGCGCUGUCAUCAGGCUCUGCCUGUCUGAAGCUUCCCGUUGCUAAGAGACUUUUCCCCUCCGCCCUUUUUGCAGCCGGUUGCCAUAGCGCUGCCAGCCUCUGCUAUCAAGAAGCAGAGAGCAGUCAUUACUCACCGCCUCUCCUCCUCCAAAAAAAAAAAAGAAAAGAAAAAAAAAAAAAAGAAAAAGAAAAGCAGGGCUGAGCGACAAAUACACACUCUCUUCUCUUUUUAAUUCAUUUUGGGACCCAGCAGGAGGAUCCCUGCACAUUUCAGCCUCAGAUGCACACUGCGAUAUUUUCUUGCAGAAGUUCUUGCUUUGGUCUCUGUGCUGAAACACCAUGAACUGCAGUGCUGACUCAUGGGCACCUGUGACGUUGUCCAUGGCAGCAACAGAUAUCUCAGGAUGUACUUCCUAAGAUGUCUCUCGUACCUGUGCAACUGGCACUGCACCCUCCUGAUGGUAAUUCACUCUGGUGUAAGCAGAUGUUCUGCAACUCUGCAAAUCAAAGCAUCCUUCCUCGGGAACACUGUCAUAUGGGUAGAGCUUCUCUCUUGAGAUAUUUUUUAAUAACAAUAAUAUCAUAAUCACUAAUAUAUGUGCCAUGGCUACCAUCAAAGCACAAAAGAAUACAUUCUGUUUAAAAAUUAGCUUUUCAAGUGCACACAAUUUUGUAUGAGGAAUCAUCCCCAGAAAAAUAGAGUGCCUUCCAUUUUUUUUAAGGAAAAACAUAUCGCUAGUGGCUAGGGUGAGAGGAAAGUUAAUGUCAGCCCUAAACAAAAAGAAAAACUUAACUUAUUUCAGCUCUAAAAUUGAGAGUUUUCACGUUGCCGGCCUGCUGGCUGCCAGGCUUUGCCAGCUGGGCACCACAGUGUAACACGGAGUGUAGCAAUGCAGACCUGGAGCUCUCAGCAUCCUUGUCAUCCAGUGUGCCUGGUUAAAAAAGAACUAUUUGGCUUCUGUAUAAAACUGGAAGUGUGCGUACAUGCUGUAACAUGGUUUGCUAAUAACGAAUUUGGUAAUAUAAGAUUACCCGUGUGAGGAUAUAAAUUGUGUAAGUUAAGUGUGAGAUGGUAUUUGGGCAACAGAGGCUUUUACAUCAGUGAAUGUUAAAAGCAGUACGUGAGUUUGACAGAGAAUAGCUUCAGUUAUUCUAUUAUUUUAGUUUCCAUUAAUCAUGGCAAAAGCCUCCACCUCGGUUGUCAAUAUAAAGCUGCUCAACAUCCAGAGAACUUUCUUCCCACGUUCUGCAGUUGGUGAGAUAUUGUGCUAAUAAAUGCAGCGAGGAGCUACACUCCGUGUCCUUAAAUGCCCUUCCAUUUAUCCAGUCCAGCAUCUGCCUGCUUGAACAAGUGCAUCAGAUACAGGCAGCCUGCCAGCUAUUAAAAUGUUACACCUACCGCCAUGGAGCUAAAUUGUACAUUUUGUUUUCCCUUGUCCUUGACAAGGGCUCACUCCUAAAGGAAGAGGAAUGUGCUUAAUGUCUGCUUGCCUCAAACUCCCUCUUUAUCCAACUAUCUGUUCCCUGAUUUGAUAUUUUAUAUUCUCUUCUUUUCAUGCUGUUCUUGGGAACAAUAAAUAUCAUUGUGCAAGAAGAGACAUUUAAGAAAGAACCUUUGCCAACUGUAUGGAAAACUGAUUUCAAAAUCCAUUUCUACUCUGAUGAAGCAUGGAAAUCAAAUAUAGUGGAAAAAAAUAAAUGGGAUUAUUUCACCAUUUCUUUUUCAAUUGGGAUAUUUUUGUUCUUUUGGGGAGCUGACCUGAGAUAACUUCAUCUAGAGGUCCCUGUGCCAUCAUCAGAAUGCAGACAUCUCCGAGGAAUUCUUUGGUUUCAGUAAAUUGCAUUUUCUUAUUGGGAAAAAAAUACAAUAAGAAAUAUUAUUCAGAGCUUUACUAUUUGUUGUUCUA
Long non-coding RNA from Numida meleagris (helmeted guineafowl), 3707 nucleotides. RefSeq lists it as uncharacterized. The record is from RefSeq and is a predicted model, not a curated record. The transcript is spliced from 4 exons. NCBI's taxonomy places the organism in Eukaryota, Metazoa, Chordata, Aves, Galliformes, Numididae.